CACCAAAAUUAGAAUUAUAUAUAUAUAUAUAUAUAUAUAUAUAAAGUGUUGGAUUUGAUGAAGUAAACAUUGGUGAUGUUAACAAUUAAAACUGAAGUCUUCAGCGAAGUGUUGAUGUUCAACUUAGUAUGGAGUUUUAUUGACAAUGUUGCAAGGGCAAACUUGAACAUCAAAUAUUGCCAUUUUCAAGUGAUGAAUUUGAUUGAAUAUUUUGUAUUUCAUAUCAUAAUAAUGUUGAAAAUAAAUAUGUGUUUGAAAAAGACGAGAUUAUGUAAUUUUUUUUUAUUUAUUUGUAACCCGAUUUCAUUUAAAAUUUAAAAUUGUUUAUAUACUCAAAAAAAUAUAUUUAAUAUGUAAUUUUAUGGGCAAUACUUACAUCUUUAUUUUCUGAUUGUUUUCUUUAGGUAAAAUUAAUGAUUGGAAUAAAAAACACUCUUUUAUUUCAUUAGGAAUUGUAUUGUCAUACUACAACUAUUUCCAAUUGAACCAACAUUCUUUUCUACUUUAUAUCACCACUGCAGUUUUGAUCCUUCACAUGGAUUAUCAAUGAAAUUUCAAUGAUUCAAGAACCAAGUGUGUCAAAUUAUUGCUAAUAAAACUUCGUUCCAAAAUUUGAUUAAACUAAUCUGAAUGUAAAAAUCUUAACUAAAAGAGAAUAAGAAUAUUUUUUUUUUCAAGUUACAUAUUUUAGCACGUUUUUUUUAAGAAAUAUAUAAUUUUCUAGCAUAUAUUAAAUAUUAAAUGUUUUCUUGAAAUUCUUUGCACUGCACCAAAUUUAAAGAAAAGAUAAAUUAUUAAUUUUCUUAUUUGCAAUAGCACA
Molecule: long non-coding RNA, 820 nt
Filed under: Physcomitrium patens
Lineage: Eukaryota; Viridiplantae; Streptophyta; Bryopsida; Funariales; Funariaceae
Description: long non-coding RNA (PPAT_LNC001825)
Source: RNAcentral